This is a small nucleolar RNA of Trichomycterus rosablanca, 182 nucleotides long. RefSeq annotates it as small nucleolar RNA SNORD97. The record is from RefSeq and is a predicted model, not a curated record. Lineage: Eukaryota; Metazoa; Chordata; Actinopteri; Siluriformes; Trichomycteridae. The transcript has a single exon.
AGACCCAGUGAUUAAAAUCGGAAGCGCAUUAGAGGGACCUGUGGGGAGGAGCGAGGACUUUUGGGAGUUCUUUCUUUUUAUCUCUCUCUCUCUGUCUCAUCCUCUUUUUUUCCUUUAACUCCUAAUGGUCCUUCACUCAUCUCUGUCCCUGUGAGCGGGAAGAUUAUGAGAUCUGAGGGUCU